UAUACAUAGGGUUAUUAUAAA
RNAcentral lists this non-coding RNA (21 nucleotides) under Caenorhabditis elegans. Lineage: Eukaryota; Metazoa; Nematoda; Chromadorea; Rhabditida; Rhabditidae. The record is from RNAcentral.